GAACGCAGCGCCUUAGACCGCUCGGCCAUCCUGACAUCUACGAAAUCACUUCCUUGGUUCUGAGGUUGUAUUCGAUACUCUGUUCAUGGAGUGAAAAUGUGCAAGAAAAUACAUUUUGGCAGGAGCGGGAUUGGAACCCACGCCUGGAGAACCAGAUUGCCACCUGAACGGAACGCCUUAGACCGCUCGGCCAUCCUGACAUCUACGGAAUCUCUUCCGUGGUUCUGAGGUUGCACUUGCUACUCUGUUCAUGAA
Long non-coding RNA from Nematostella vectensis (starlet sea anemone), 255 nucleotides. RefSeq lists it as uncharacterized. NCBI's taxonomy places the organism in Eukaryota, Metazoa, Cnidaria, Anthozoa, Actiniaria, Edwardsiidae. The transcript is spliced from 2 exons. The record is from RefSeq and is a predicted model, not a curated record.